This 65-nucleotide transfer RNA is filed under the name Nomophila noctuella. RNAcentral describes it as "tRNA-Ile". Lineage: Eukaryota; Metazoa; Arthropoda; Insecta; Lepidoptera; Crambidae. The record is from RNAcentral.
AAUAAAGUGCCUGAUUAAAGGAUUAUUCUGAUAGGAUAAAUUAAGUAGAAUAUCUACCUUUAUUA